AUGUUAUGGCAAACGUAGGUUUAAAGCCAGAGGAAAACACAAGAGCUUUCUCCCCGUGUAUUUUCGAUGUGUAAAACUUGAUGCUACUAUGUUGCAAAUAAGAAAGGUAGCAUGUUAUAAUAGACAGUUACAGUGCUUAUGCAGACUUCCAAAGAAUCUGUGGCAGCAAUAUGCAGGUGUUGAUUAUGUGAAAGUUAGACAUAAAUCAACAACUAAGAAGCCUUUAGAAGGACCAUUACAACAAGAAAACAGCUCAUUCACCGAAGACUUCAGUUCACUAUCAGAGUCCUAUAUUAAUCAAGAUAGUAUUAAAUGUUAUGACGGAGACCAAAUACAGAGAAUUGUAAAAGAGCACCCAUCCCAUAAGCAAUUAGAAAAGGAAGUUGACACAGCAGACUUUUCAGAAUUUUAUAAGAGGUAUGGAGAGGGCUCGGUAAGAAGUAGUGAAAAUACUGAAAACAGCAGUAUAUCAAUUCUUCCAUUGAAUGAUGUUCUGAAGACUCUUCAAGAGGAACAUUUUAAAAGAUAUCCAAGUGGAGGCCAGGAGAAAAGGCAAGAAAGAACUCAAGUCCCAAGUGACUCAAAUAUUGAUAGAGAACAGAAAACUAAUAGCAAGGCUACUAAUUCCAAAAAAGGAAAAGAUGUUCACAAGAAUUUUCAUCAGAAGUCAAGUACUUCACUGAGUAAGAAAAAAAUUGUUAUUAUCAAAGGGAAGAAUGAUAUUAAUAAAAAUAAAAUUGAUAAAAUAAAUGAAAUUCCUAGGAAUCAGAAUCAGGUAAAACCACUCACUGGAACAUUACAUGGAUUGUCAGAUGAAGGGAAAACAUUACUCGAUUUGUCAGAAAAAUAUGGAAAAGAAGCUGAGAGAAAAGAGAACAGCGAAUCAAGAAUAAGAGAAAUAUUACUAAAAGAAUUUAAUGGUAUUCAAAACAAGAAAUCUGCCAGUACAAUGUAUAGGGAGAGUAAGCUUGGAAUACAAAUGCUCUCAUCUCCCCUCUAUGAACAACUCUUUUCUACUGUCACUCCAAAAGAAGAACAGGAGAUUGAAGAUGAUUUAGAGAGAAGCAAGGAACAUCUUAUGGCUCAAGGCUUGUGGGGAAAAGAACCAUCUGUUGUUCCUGACUUUGAUUUCAAGUUGCCUCCAUUAAAAGAUAGAGAGCUUGAUCAACAUUUCCGCAUUAUUGCUGAAGAGCAGUCUGCACCCUAUAAAGCUCUGCUUAAUCAAUUAUUAGGUGCUGAUAUACCAAGUUUUCCCAGAAAAUGGCAGUUUAUGCCAGGAUGGACCCGUUAUAAUCCUAAUGGAAGUUUCACAGCAGUUGAUUACCCAGACUGUAAAGCUUUAGUUUUUGAUGUGGAAGUGUGUGUAGAAGAAGGGAAAGCGCCAACUUUAGCUACAGCAGUUUCAGAUAAGUAUUGGUAUUCUUGGUGUAGUAAUUUAUUGGUUGAAGAUCAAAGAGAAGGAACCCAAGAAGUUCUUUACAAUGACCUUAUACCUCUUGAAUCAUUAAAAGAAACUGACUUCAAUCAGGGCAAGAGCAUGCCACGAGUCAUCAUUGGGCAUAAUGUUAGUUAUGAUAGAUUAAGGGUACGUGAGCAGUACCAAGUGGAGGGAACGCCAGUACGUUUUGUGGAUACAAUGUCAUUACACAUAGCUGUAAGUGGACUUAUUUCAGAGCAAAGAGCAAUGAUGUUAAAAAAUAAAAAUGCAGAUCAAAAAAUUAGGCUUCCUUGGAUGUUUGUUGGAUGCCAAAACAGUCUUAAUGAAGUCUUUAAGUUUUACUGCCACACAGAUGAAGAACUGAAAAAGGAUACACGAAAUGUAUUUGUCAAAGGCAGUAUUGUUGAGAUUCGUGAAGAUUUUCAAAAUCUGAUGAGUUACUGUGCUAGUGAUGUGAAAGCUACACACAUGGUACUAGUAAAGUUGUUACCUUUAUUUUUUGAACGAUUUCCUCAUCCAGUAAGUUUUGCUGGUAUGUUAGAAAUGGGAACAACAUUUUUACCAGUAACAUGGAACUGGCCUAAGUAUAUCAGUGCUGCAGAGUCUGAAUUCCAUAGAAUGGAAAGACUGCUAAAUGAAGAAUUGGUGAAACAGGCAAGAGGAGCACUAAAAUAUGUAGAUAACAAAGAGUAUGAAAAUGACCCAUGGCUUUGGAGUCUUGACUGGUCAGUACCAAAAGGAAGAGUAAAGAAGUUACCUGGAUAUCCAAAUUGGUAUAGGAAAUUAUGUGCACACACUGGAGAAAGGGAAGGUACACCUGAACCUGAAAACAUGAGCACAAGUUUACAGGUUGUACCAAGACUGCUAAGAUUAACCUGGAAUGGGCUUCCUCUGCAUUAUGAGAGAAAAUAUGGUUGGGGAUACUUGAAACCUAUUUAUGAUAAUGUGAAUGAAAUACCACAUCAGAAAACAACAUUGGACAGCAACAGUGUGUAUCAGACUUUUCCAGUAAAUGCUCUCUAUAAGAUGUAUGCUGGCCAGAAAAUUGAUAUUGAAAGUUUCCUAAAAGAUAAAGAAAAUAAGACCAAUGAUCUGCCUGAAACAGAACAAGAUUGGUUGUCCCUUUUGUCCGAGAGUGAUUCAGACGUUAAAGUUUAUGAAAAAAGGAAAUCAAGAGACCAGAAUCAAAAGAAAAAAGAUGAAGAAAAAGGGUAUGAUAUUGGGAUUCCUGGAGUUCUAUUUAUUCCAUUGCCGCAUAAAGAUGGACCAGGCAAUCGAGUGGGUAAUCCCCUUGCAAAAGACUUUCUUCUGAAAAUUGAAGAUAAAACUUUAAGCAGUUACUUUGGAGAUAUAGCCGAGUUAGUUCUGAAGACCAGCAAAUCAUUGUCAUAUUGGCGGAAUAACAGAGACAGAAUACUUUCCCAGAUGGUCAUAUGGAAUGACCAGAAUGAUAAUACUGGUAAAGAGAUUUCAGAAGCUAAUGAAAAGAAGGAAUGUAGAACUGGUAUUAUUUUGCCAAUGGUAGUGACAGCGGGUACUAUCACUCGGCGUGCAGUGGAACCUACAUGGAUGACAGCCUCUAAUGCCUAUGUAGAUCGCAUUGGUUCUGAACUGAAAGCCAUGGUUGAAGCCCCUCCUGGAUACAAUUUUGUUGGAGCAGAUGUUGAUUCGCAAGAAUUGUGGAUUGCUGCAGUGCUUGGUGAUGCAUAUUUCUCUGGUGAGCACGGAGCUACUGCUCUUGGCUGGAUGACAUUGCAAGGGAAAAAGUCUGAUGGUUCAGAUAUGCACAGUCGAACUGCCAAUACAGCUGGCAUAUCACGUGAUCAUGCUAAGGUCAUUAAUUAUGGAAGAAUUUAUGGGGCAGGAUUACGCUUUAUUCAAAGGCUUUUGCGUCAGUUCAAUCCUAAAUUAUCAGAAGAAGAAACUCAGCAACGUGCCACACAACUGUUUGCAACUACCAAGGGACAAAAAGGAUGGUACCUCAACAAGAUGGGACAAAAUCUUGCCUUGGAACUGAAUUAUCCAAUCAGUGGAGAAGCUCUAGAUCGCAAAGAGAUAAAUAAGUUGCUGAGACAGGCCAGAUAUAACAACAUAGAGGCAUCCUUUUAUGAUAUAGUGGAUGGUCCUGCUGUAUGGGUAGGUGGCUCCGAGUCAUAUAUGUUCAACUGUUUAGAAGCAAUAGCCAGGUCUGAGGAGCCACGGACACCAGUACUAGGGGCAAGAGUAACUCGAGCUCUUGAAGCAAAGUAUGUGGACGACCAGUACAUGACUAGCAGAGUGAACUGGGUUGUCCAGAGCUCAGCUGUUGAUUAUCUUCACAUCAUGCUUGUGUCAAUGAAAUGGUUAUUCCAGGAGUACAACAUUAGAGGGAGAUUCUGUAUUAGCAUCCAUGAUGAGGUGAGAUACCUGGUAGCAACAAAAGACUCCCAUCGUGCUGCUCUGGCUCUGCAAAUCACCAACUUACUGACACGUUCACUCUUCGCUCAAAAAUUAGGUUUCAAAGAUUUGCCUCAGUCAGUAGCAUUCUUCAGUGCAGUAGACAUUGAUUAUGUUCUUCGAAAAGAGCCUCAUCUAGACUGUGUUACACCUUCAAAUCCUGAAGGACUGAAUAAAGGGUAUGGAAUUCCUCCAGGAGAGGCACUUGAUAUGCAGAAAAUUCUUGAGGUCACUUCAGGUAUUCUUGAGAAAAAUGGAGAGGAUGCCAGAUGAUAGUGUUAUUUUGCCGUAAGUACCAGUACACUGAUGGCAUAUUUGCAUAUACUUACACUUUCUGAGGUUGUUGAGAUAUGAAUUUUAGUUUCCUAUUAUUUUAAAUUUGGUAGAAUCAUGAUUUGAUAACAUCCAUUCACACUGUGGCUGGUGACAUGCAUCCAUAGCAUCCAGCAUGUAUUUCUUGUGUUGCAGUGCAUCUUUUCAUAUAAAAACAUUACUAAGAAAUGUACCUUGACUCAUUGAUAUAGCAUAACUGCUAUUUUGUCAUUAUAAAUACAGUUUCCUCAAGAAGUUCCUCUAUCACUGUUAUUUCCUACAAAGAUUGUGGCAGUAUUGCAGUGAUAACCUGGGUAUAUAUGGCUAAACAGGCCAAUAGGACCAGCCAUACUGUAGUAUGUAAUAUUGUAUAAAUAGGGAGGUGCUUAAAGCAUCACUAGAACGUAGUGGAUAAAGGAACUUUCUGAGUCAGAUACACUGUAUUCCAGAUUAGUAUUGAAUAUAGUAUGCACACUUCUUAGCACUAUAGUGACUCAUACUAUAUAUCAUACAAUAGACAUUAGGCAGUGCAUGGCUUUACAAAUACUUUAAUAAUUCUCUGGCAACUGAUGGUCCAUUACUCUUAAUCCAAGCAGAAUAACAAUUGGACACUUGGAUUUCCACGAGUCUGCCAGACUAGUUUUUUCCAAGAGUCUGCCAGACUAGUUUAUUGGACUGCCACAGGAGGCAUCAAGUGUGGUGGACAAGUGAAAGAUAAAAUAAGUGUGGCUGAAGGAAAAGUACCAAUAAUCAAUCUUUGGAAAUGUGAUAAAUGCAGAUUAAGUUCAUAAUGAUUUUGGUGAAGAAUGUACAAUAGUCUUUAAUAAAUCCUAUUAUUAAUUAUAUGG
Penaeus chinensis is the source of this 5034-nucleotide RNA transcript. It is a transcript of the gene named DNA polymerase subunit gamma-1-like, with no coding region annotated. NCBI's taxonomy places the organism in Eukaryota, Metazoa, Arthropoda, Malacostraca, Decapoda, Penaeidae. The transcript has 10 exons. The record is from RefSeq and is a predicted model, not a curated record.